Molecule: ribosomal RNA, 253 nt
Filed under: uncultured bacterium
Lineage: Bacteria
Description: partial 16S ribosomal RNA
Rfam family: Bacterial small subunit ribosomal RNA
Source: RNAcentral
UACGAAGGGAGCUAGCGUUGCUCGGAAUCACUGGGCGUAAAGGGCGCGUAGGCGGGAUGGCAAGUCGGUCGUGAAAUCCUUCGGCUCAACCGAAGAACGUCGGCCGAUACUGCCGUUCUUGAGGGAUGCAGAGGAGAUUGGAAUUCCCGGUGUAGCGGUGAAAUGUGUAGAGAUCGGGAGGAACACCGGUGGCGAAGGCGGGUCUCUGGGCAGCUCCUGACGCUGAGGCGCGAAAGCGUGGGGAGCAAACGGG